This is an RNA transcript of Dicentrarchus labrax (European seabass), 1867 nucleotides long. RefSeq lists it as uncharacterized. The record is from RefSeq and is a predicted model, not a curated record. NCBI's taxonomy places the organism in Eukaryota, Metazoa, Chordata, Actinopteri, Moronidae. The transcript has 8 exons.
CGGGGAGUGAAUCCCCUGAAUCUGAAUUAUCCAGCUCUACAGGAUCAGACCCAGAUCCAACUUAGAAUGCAUCGUCCAUUAAUGAGGAAGCUUUAAGAAGCUCAGACAAAGCUUCAGCUUGUGAGAAAUUGUCCAGAGAUAGCAAACAGGCAAGUGUAUCAUUCACAAACACAAGAUCAAAGACAAAAAACUAUGACCAUAAAAAUGUUAUACUAAAAUGGAGGACAGCAAACGAGCAUGGGACAAACACUAUAGGCUUUAUCGAAGUCUUUAUGGGGACUUGGUAACUGUAUUAGAUUGGAUAACUAUAUAUAUAAUUGUAAACCCUCUACUUUGAAUUCGCAGAUAUAAUUACACACUUUCAUUAUGUCUUCCUUUCCAAUACUGCAUAGUAUGAGGUGCCACUUCCUGUUUUCUCAGUUUUUGUUUUUUCAGAUGAAGGCUUGGACUCCUUCCCAGAAAACAGACUUGACCAGAGGGAUGAGGAUGGGGGCUCAGUUAAAAGUCCCUCCAGGAUUGACACCCCUGCCCCACAGAGGAGAGAGAAACAAGGCAGUGAGGUGGAUGAUGAUGAGAGCCCAGAAACAAACCUGGCUGAAGGGCUCCCACAGAAGAAAAGUGGACAAAAGAAGGCAGCAAUGAAAUAAACAUAGAUGGCCCAGCACAUGCUCCUUUUAGAUGUGAGGACGAGAUGGAACUCUCUGUAUUUGAUGAUGAAGAGAUUUUGUGAACAGUUUCCUGCUAUCUAUGCUGCAGCUAUAGACCAACAGCUUAGAAAGCCCAUGGAGAAAGAGAAACUGGCCAGAAUGGGCAAAAAGGACCUGAGGAAAGCAGAGGAGUUUGUGCUGCUGAUGAAGAUGCAUUACACAUCCACACUUGCUGUCUCCAGCGAAAAAAGUCCAACCUGUGGCCAGAUAUUGCCCAUCCUUCAGAAACUGCGCAAACAUUACACAGUGCAGGCAGACGACUCUGCAUUCGUCAGGAGCGUUAAGGAGAACAUCUGGAAUGAUCUUUCCAAACGUUACCGGUACAGUCACUGACAUGAUGAUGAUAUCCAGGCAUUUCUGGGGGAAGCCAAUGUGUUAGAUCCCAGAUUUAAAUCUAAAAUGGACAGGGAUGAAAUCUAGGACAGGGUCAGGGUAUCAGCAGUGGCAGCAAACACAGAGGCAGUUGAGAAGCUGUCAGAGCCAAGAGAGACACAGGGGCAGGCAGAAGAAGAGGAUGGAGAAGAAGAAGAAGAAGAAGAGGAGGACUACAUAAGUUGAUUACGCCACCUGUAAAGCAGAAAAAGAGGACAGCCCUAGAGGAACUUUUUGAAGAAGAGGACAGCCAGCUGCUUUCCAUGCAGCAGCAGCCCCCGGUCUCCACAGUGGAUCAAGAAAUCCAGCUUUAUAGAAGCCUUCCUCCCAUUCCAACCAAAGACAGUGCCAGUUUCUGGUGGUGGAAGAAGAGUGACACAUUGCCAGUGUUGUCAGCUCUAGCUGAGAAGUAUCUCUGUGUCCAAGCGUCCUCCACCCCUUCUGAAAGGGUGUUCUCCACUGCUGGAGACACCCUAAGUCCAGAAAGAUCUCGUAUCCUUCCUGAGAGGGUAAACAUGAUAAUUUUUCUGCACAAAAAUUGUUAAUUGAUAGUUGUGGUCUUAUCUUUACAGAAGACUUCUUUGUAUUUUUUUAUGUCAGUUGAAUUUUGUUUCAAGUUGAUUCCAAAUGAGCAUUGUUAAUAUUCCAAAAGGCACAAGCUCUUCCUUGACUGUUUUCAGUCUGUGUUUUUAAUUUUUAUGUCACAUAAUGGCAGCUGGGCUUAAAAAGCCAAAACAUUUAUUUUUUUGUCUGGACCAAUAACCAAUGCUCUGUGCUGUGUCUAUUAA